CCUGUGAUGCUGCUUCUGCCUCUCCAGAGAUGCACUAUACACCUCUGCCUUCCGGAUCCAGAGACCUCACCAAUCACAGAGGCAUUCUGGGGAAAUGUCGCUACAUUUACUACGGAAAACAUUCUGAGGGCAACAGAUUCAUCCGAGAUGACCAGCUAUAAAACACAGUGCUGUGGUGCCUCUUCGAUCCCUCCACAUGAGAAGCACAAAUUGCAUCUAAAUUUUAAGCGUGUAACUGAAGUCCUCUAGUGCCUUCUGCUGACUUUGCCAAGCCUGUCAAGAUCAUCCUUCUAUCUUAGUCUGAGUAGUCACAUAGAGAUUGACAUGAUUGCCUUUAAGCAGGUUCCAUCCACCAGUGUGACAGACAGCUGCAGCCGAGCACCCGGCCUGACAGGAGGAGCACUGUGAUGGAUUGCCUGGUCCAAUUGCUGCUCCAGAAGAGCAGGGGUCACACCUGGGGCUGCAGUGAGCAUGCUCCAGCGCUCGGCGCCUCCGCAAACGCAGCGCGUUUAUCUCCGGCUUGCCUGUUGAGAGAAAGUGGCUGCUGAUAUCAAAGUGUUUAUAAAAGAGGGAGGCUGUAAUUUCAGAUGAAAAAGCCCUUAUCUGUUCUUAUUUUUUUCCCUGUGAAUUAAGUGCUUGUGUUUCUGUCAUCUCAUACAUGCCUACACAAAUCCGUUCACGGUUUGGUAGGACCCCACUCACCCCUAAAUGAUCCUAGGCAGGUUAUUUUGUCUUUCAACGGGGGAAAAAUAUAUCCUGAAAAUAUUUUGGCCAUGCAAAGUACUAUUGAUUUGUAUAGUUGUUUAUAUGCAAAGGAAAAAAGAUUUAAGUAAUUUCCCAGACAAACAAAAUUUGCUAAUUCUUAAAUUACAUCUCAACAUUUACUCACUCUUACCUUCAGAAAAGUGAACAUUUCUUAAUGCUGGCACAGCUUAACUGUAUAUGCUUGGAAGAAGCCCUCAUUAGUGAUAUUGACAAUGUGCAUUAUUCCUGGUUUGUUGAACAAGAUAUUUUUAACUUUUAGGGACUAUGUUUAGAAUUAAAUGCUUAAAUCUAAGUAGGGGGGGAAAGUGCCUAAAAGGAGUGAUAUAAUCUGCCACCAGAUGCAUAGGAUUAUUCAGAGGGGAGAAAAAUCAACAAAAGUAAACAUAAUUAGCAGCUUUACUAAUAUAGAGAGACAAGUUCUGAAUAAUCCCUUUUGAUGUCUACGUAGGAAAGGCUAUUGUCAAAUUUUCAGUCAGAAAAAUAAAAAUUCAUGGCAAAUUUCCUACUUUUCUGAUAACGAGGUUGAAUAUAUUAGAAUCAUGAACUCGUUACUGUGAAAAAAGUCCCAUACUUCAUGCAUAUAUUAAGUGCUACUAGAUACAAUGUGAUUGUCCAAGGAAUAUGCAAAAAUUCUGACCUCUGGACUGUUCCAAACCCAUGCAUAUUGGUCCCAGUUGAGAGCUAUCACUGCCUAGCUGUUCUUGGUUUGUUUAAAAUUGCUUGGUGGCCUUUAUUCACUUUCCUGGUUGAAAAAAAAUGUCAGUUUUUAGAAACUGCCUACUUUGGGGGUCUAUUAUCAGCUAGUGUUACAGGUGGAAGUGAACUGGACAUUGAAGUCAAUUGUGAAAUUGGGUUUGACUGAUGAAAUAGAAUGAGACACUGGCAGAGUGCCAAAGGAAAGCUUGCUGCUGCUGAGCAUGUUAGGCCUUACUCAGUAAAUGGAAGCCUUUGCUCAUUCUGAAAGUCUAUAAUAAAUCUUUAACAGAUAUUUAAAGUCAGUGAUGAACGUAGAACAAUCUAGUUCACACCACUUAGGGUUCAAAUUGAGCUCUGAGCUGUUUGCCAUGCAAAUUGGUGUCUGUAAAGCACAUUUUGGCCACCUACAGUGCCUCUUCUAAUGUCAUGUGACUACAAAUGAAAUGCCAAUUCACUUUAGAAGUCCUAGGAGAUAUUGGAUAAAUGAAAACUACAUGCCUCUUUCUUUAAUCAAAAAUAUAAUUAGAAAUAUUUAGGGCACUUGUCCUUUCUCUUGGUUACCAAAAUAACAGCAGUCCUAGUUUGCUCCUAUUAUGUUGUCCGUUUUGAAGUCUCCACACAUUUUGGCCAUGGCAAUAUUACAGGCAGCAGGGUUCUGAGCAGGGGUGUUUGGAAUAACCUAAUGUCACUUUCAGUCUGGUUGCAUAUAUGUUCUUGUCUUUAUAAAGGCUUUAACCCUGCCUCAAACAAUAAACAGCACUUGCAAACUGA
Pipra filicauda (Wire-tailed manakin) is the source of this 2232-nucleotide long non-coding RNA. RefSeq lists it as uncharacterized. NCBI's taxonomy places the organism in Eukaryota, Metazoa, Chordata, Aves, Passeriformes, Pipridae. The transcript has 2 exons. The record is from RefSeq and is a predicted model, not a curated record.